This 292-nucleotide ribosomal RNA is filed under the name uncultured bacterium. Its description in RNAcentral is "partial 16S ribosomal RNA". The record is from RNAcentral.
GGACUACUAGGGUAUCUAAUCCUGUUCGCUCCCCACGCUUUCGCUCCUCAGCGUCAGUAUCGGCCCAGAGACCCGCCUUCGCCACCGGUGUUCCUCCUGAUAUCUGCGCAUUUCACCGCUACACCAGGAAUUCCAGUCUCCCCUACCGAACUCAAGUCUGCCCGUAUCGACGGCAAGCUCAAGGUUAAGCCCCGAGUUUUCACCGUCGACGCAACAAACCGCCUACGAGCUCUUUACGCCCAAUAAUUCCGGACAACGCUCGCACCCUACGUAUUACCGCGGCUGCUGGCAC